This 267-nucleotide long non-coding RNA is filed under the name Sorghum bicolor (sorghum). RNAcentral describes it as "long non-coding RNA (SBIC_LNC008040)". The record is from RNAcentral. Lineage: Eukaryota; Viridiplantae; Streptophyta; Magnoliopsida; Poales; Poaceae.
GUUUAUCCUAGUAAGUGUUAGUUUGGAAGUACUGCACAUACUUCUAUUGGCUUUUAAAUUAAGCAUGGUGCUUAGGUUAAACAGCCUUCCUUAAUCUGAUUAGACAUGGAGUCUAGUUCGGUUAUUGAACUAAAAACUGCUUGUGUAGACAUUGGUAUAUUUUGUCGGACUAACCCCUGCAGAAAAACUUUCAAUAUCAAUUUGGGAAGUCCUGAGAUACAAACUCACAUUGGAGAUAAAGGAGACACAUGAAAUUUAACGACUUGC